This 437-nucleotide ribosomal RNA is filed under the name uncultured bacterium. Its description in RNAcentral is "partial 16S ribosomal RNA". It matches the Rfam family "Bacterial small subunit ribosomal RNA", at positions 29 to 507 of the family's 1533-position model. The record is from RNAcentral.
AGCGAACGCUGGCGGCAGGCUUAACACAUGCAAGUCGAGCGGGCAUCCUUGUGGUGUCAGCGGCAGACGGGUGAGUAACGCGUGGGAACGUGCCCUUCGGUUCGGAAUAACUCAGGGAAACUUUAGCUAAUACCGGAUACGUGCGAGAGCAGAAAGGUUUAUCUGCCGAAGGAUCGGCCCGCGUCUGAUUAGCUAGUUGGUGAGGUUAUGGCUCACCAAGGCGACGAUCAGUAGCUGGUCUGAGAGGAUGAUCAGCCACACUGGGACUGAGACACGGCCCAGACUCCGACGGGAGGCAGCAGUGGGGAAUAUUGGACAAUGGGGGCAACCCUGAUCCAGCCAUGCCGCGUGAGUGAUGACGGCCUUAGGGUUGUAAAGCCCUUUUCUUCGGGACGAUAAUGACGGUACCGGAGGAAUAAGCCCCGGCUAACUUCGUG